GAUGAACGCUGGCGGCGUGCCUAAUACAUGCAAGUCGAGCGAGCGGACGAGAGGCUUGCUUCUCUGAUGUUAGCGGCGGACGGGUGAGUAACACGUGGAUAACCUACCUAUAAGACUGGGAUAACUUCGGGAAACCGGAGCUAAUACCGGAUAAUAUUUUGAACCGCAUGGUUCAAAAGUGAAAGACGGUCUUGCUGUCACUUAUAGAUGGAUCCGCGCUGCAUUAGCUAGUUGGUAAGGUAACGGCUUACCAAGGCAACGAUGCAUAGCCGACCUGAGAGGGUGAUCGGCCACACUGGAACUGAGACACGGUCCAGACUCCUACGGGAGGCAGCAGUAGGGAAUCUUCCGCAAUGGGCGAAAGCCUGACGGAGCAACGCCGCGUGAGUGAUGAAGGUCUUCGGAUCGUAAAACUCUGUUAUUAGGGAAGAACAUAUGUGUAAGUAACUGUGCACAUCUUGACGGUACCUAAUCAGAAAGCCACGGCUAACUACGUG
RNAcentral lists this ribosomal RNA (497 nucleotides) under uncultured bacterium. Its description in RNAcentral is "partial 16S ribosomal RNA". It matches the Rfam family "Bacterial small subunit ribosomal RNA", at positions 28 to 507 of the family's 1533-position model. The record is from RNAcentral.